Molecule: unclassified non-coding RNA, 1894 nt
Filed under: Centruroides sculpturatus (bark scorpion)
Lineage: Eukaryota; Metazoa; Arthropoda; Arachnida; Scorpiones; Buthidae
Description: uncharacterized LOC111624537, transcript variant X1
Source: RNAcentral
UAUGGAGGGAAGUGAUACUGAGAGGAUGGAGAAAUACGAAGUGUAUUUUUAGCUAAUUAUGAGUUAAACGUGAUGGAAUGUAAGCCGAGCACGUCGUCGGGAGGGUUGAAAAGACAUUUGGAGGACGAAGAAAUUAAAUAUGAUGGCACGUGCAAACGUAUUUGCACGUGCCAUCAUAUUGCACAUGUAAACGUAUCUAAUCACACGUGUAAAUGUAUUUGCACAGAGCAUGCUUCCAUGCUUUGCAUGCUUGAUUCGAAGGUAUCGGAUGAAGAAACGUUUAUAAGUGAUAUUAAUGCUAUAAGUAAAUGCCCAGUCGAUUUGACAAGUAUAGAAAAUUUGUGCUUGUCAGGACAGUUUAAUCAGCUGCAGUCAAAUGAUACUCAGAUGAUAGCAAGUUUAACAUCUCAACCAUAUAUUGGAUUAAUGGAAAAGGAGAAACUACUAGUGUUGCUGGAAUUUUUAUUGAGAUUACAUAAAUCUGAAAAGUUAGAUAGUUUGAAAUUUCAAGAAAAAAGUAAAGCAUGGUCUGUUACCCAGUUAAAGAAACUUUUUUGCUUCCCAUUGACAGUUCUGAAAGAGAAGAAUUAUAUUCAUCCUUUAACUUUACAAGUUGCAAUCACUAAACUUGUCUUGAAUAUAUCUAAGAAUGUAUGUAAUGAUAAAAUACAGAAGUUACCAUCAGAAGUUAUUCAGAUAUUAUGUUCUAUGAGUAAUAUUAUGAUUAAAAUGCCUUUAAAGUUAUCAACUGAUUUUAUAGAAUCCAUAAUUUCCAUUAUUUAUGCAAUUAAUUUGAAGCAACCAAAUAUAGAAGAAACAGUUCAUUAUAUUGGUAAAUAUAUUUUUAAAGAAUUAUCUGUCAAAAAUAAUAUGAGUACUAUAACUCUUGGUAAACUUUAUUUGCUUAAUCCAAUAUUAUUAGAAGAAACAGUUUUAAAUGUUUUGAAAGAAGAAAAGUUCAAUGUCUGUGUUAAAAUGAAUGAAUAUAAAUUGCCAGAAACUGCUGCUCAUCAUCCAGUUCUAUUUCAAAAAAUUGUAAAUAUGUUUAUAUCAGCUUGGAUUUAUACUGAUGGAAAUAAGGAGAUUGCUGAAUUUUUAUCAAAAUUUGUUUACUCUGUGCAAAAUAACAACAUUGAAUUGAUAUCAUUGUUUCCUGAAAACUUGUGGCCAUUAAUUUUGUUACUUCAAACUCCAGCAACAGACAUUCCAUUCAAUCUUCGAAAUGCUCAUGCAUUUUCUAUCAGUAAUAGCUUACGUGAAAUGAUGCAAAAGCACACUUGCUGUAUUCAAGACAUCAUAAUUUUAUUGUUGAUAUUUACAUCUUGGUAUACUGUUUUACAUAAUAAUGAGAUGUUCAGAGAGAUUAUACACUGGCAUCCAAAGGAUAUUUCAUUCAAGAUACAAUAAACUUUAAAAAGUAUAUUUUUAUGUCCAAUUUUUCGACGACAACAAAACUGCUUUAUUUCAUUGUUAUUAACAGAAUGGUUAUAAUAAGUUAAGAGGAUAUGUAUUAUGUAUAAAUAAGGAGAUACAUUUACCAGUUUGAGCCAAUAUAAUCAAAUAUGUAUAUAAAGUAAACCAACUAUUUUUAACCAGUAAGUUACUCAAUAGAAAGCAAACACUUUUUGAUCACUUUCAAUGAGUGUAUUUGAUGCACUCAAAGAAUUAAAAUAUGCAUUAUUGAAAACAUUUUUUUCCCUCUGUUAAACAACUUAAUUCCAGUUGUAAUUAUUUAUUUUGUGAUUAAAUCAUUUGAUGGAUCAAUAUUUUUCUUAAACUUUUCAAAUAAACUUAUUUCUGUUGAUUUUAAUAUCUCUAUUGAUAAGUAAACUACUAUAUAUUUAUUCAUUAUUGCAUUUAUUUGGUCGAAAUGUUUAGAAUAUCAAAUUUUAAA